This 250-nucleotide ribosomal RNA is filed under the name uncultured bacterium. Its description in RNAcentral is "partial 16S ribosomal RNA". It matches the Rfam family "Bacterial small subunit ribosomal RNA", at positions 524 to 773 of the family's 1533-position model. The record is from RNAcentral.
UACGGAGGGUGCAAGCGUUAAUCGGAAUCACUGGGCGUAAAGCGCGCGUAGGCCGUCUUUUAAGUCGGACGUGAAAGCCCUCGGCUCAACCGGGGAACUGCGUUCGAUACUGGGAGACUUGAGUCCUGGAGAGGGUGGCGGAAUUCCGGGUGUAGGAGUGAAAUCCGUAGAUAUCCGGAGGAACACCGGUGGCGAAGGCGGCCACCUGGACAGGUACUGACGCUGAGGCGCGAAAGCGUGGGGAGCAAAC